GACGAACGCUGGCGGCGUGCUUAACACAUGCAAGUCGAACGGAAAGGCCCUGCUUUUGUGGGGUGCUCGAGUGGCGAACGGGUGAGUAACACGUGAGUAACCUGCCCCUGACUUUGGGAUAACUUCAGGAAACUGGGGCUAAUACCGGAUAGGAGCUCCUGCUGCAUGGUGGGGGUUGGAAAGUUUCGGCGGUUGGGGAUGGACUCGCGGCUUAUCAGCUUGUUGGUGGGGUAGUGGCUUACCAAGGCUUUGACGGGUAGCCGGCCUGAGAGGGUGACCGGCCACAUUGGGACUGAGAUACGGCCCAGACUCCUACGGGAGGCAGCAGUGGGGAAUAUUGCACAAUGGGCGGAAGCCUGAUGCAGCAACGCCGCGUGCGGGAUGGCGGCCUUCGGGUUGUAAACCGCUUUCGCCUGUGACGAAGCGUGAGUGACGGUAAUGGGUAAAGAAGCACCGGCUAACUACGUG
RNAcentral lists this ribosomal RNA (468 nucleotides) under uncultured bacterium. RNAcentral describes it as "partial 16S ribosomal RNA". It matches the Rfam family "Bacterial small subunit ribosomal RNA", at positions 28 to 507 of the family's 1533-position model. The record is from RNAcentral.